This 150-nucleotide ribosomal RNA is filed under the name uncultured Bacillus sp. RNAcentral describes it as "partial 16S ribosomal RNA". It matches the Rfam family "Bacterial small subunit ribosomal RNA", at positions 339 to 484 of the family's 1533-position model. The record is from RNAcentral. Lineage: Bacteria; Bacillati; Bacillota; Bacilli; Caryophanales; Bacillaceae.
UUACGGGAGGCACCAGUAGGGAUUUUUCCCCAAUGGAGGAAAUUCUGACGGAGCAACGCCGCGUGAGUGAUGAAGGUUUUCGGUUCGUAAAGUUCUGUUGUUAGGGAAGACCAAGUGCAAGAGUAACAGCUGCACCUGACGGACCUACCA